This 5425-nucleotide long non-coding RNA is filed under the name Marmota monax (woodchuck). The record is from RNAcentral. Lineage: Eukaryota; Metazoa; Chordata; Mammalia; Rodentia; Sciuridae.
CUCGAUGGAGGGGUCAGGUAAAUUUAAGUCUUUCUUUUGAGGCAGGGUCACACUAGGUUGCCUAGGCUGGCCUUGAACUUAUGAUCCUCUUGCCUUAGCCUUUGGAAGUCACUGGAAUUAUAGACAUGUGCUAUUGUGCUGGUUCAGAUAUUCUUUCCUGAGAGGCUACUAUGUGCUGAGACUUAAUGCCCAAUUUCAAGGAGCUUUGGCAUUAAAAAAUAGUACAGGAUAUGAGACAUAUACAAAAAUAAAUGUCUAUAAUUCAAGAAAGAAUGUGAUGUGAGGUGUGGGAAAAUUAAUGUUAUGGUGAAAGUUGAGAUGCCACCCAGGACUGAGAGGUUGGUGACUUUAGAGUAGGACCCUGGAGCAUGCUUAGGACUUGGAUAUGUAGGCAUGGUUAGGGAGGUGAAGGGGAACUUACAGAGGGAGGACAAACUUGCCCUUGAAGUUCAAAUGCCCAGCUGACAUUUAAAGUGAAAAAAACAUUCCACCAAGGGAGAAAGAGCCAUGCCAAAUUGUAGGAGCUUCUGGAAAAAAUUAGCUAGUCAUAAGACUGUGAAGGGCUGGGCAGGAUAGACCAUGUUUAAGGUGUGGGCCACUUUGAGUUAGCACCUACUGUAUCUGCCUUAAUUCAAGGUUGUAUUUCACAAAAACACAGCCCUGCCCCUCAGAACUUCUUUGUAAAGCCAGGACCAGAAUACAGGAGCAAAGAUUAGGCUAGGUCACUGGAGAGAGGUAGAACCCAGGAUAAGAGGGCAUUAGCUAUUUGGGGCCCCUUCCCAGGUCUCAUCCCACACCAGGUCCUGAAAACUGUGGGGGAUGGGUACCAGGGAUUGAACCCAGGGCGCUUAGCCACUGAGUCACAUCCCCAGCCCUUUUUAUUUUUUGAGACAGGGCCUUGCUAAGUUACUUAGUUAUUGAGGCUAGCCUCUAACUUGCAAUCCUCCUGCUUCAACCUCCUGAGUUGCUAGGAUUAUAGGUGUGUGCCACCAUGCCCAGCCUGAAAGUAUUUAUAAAUGCUUUUAACUAUGUAAAUAAAUAAGAAGCAUCUGGGAACCCCAAUUAGGCCUCAUCUAUGGAAGUCACAAUCCUUGUGGCUUUCACAUUUCCUCAAACUACUAUUUAAUAUCAGCAGCCUGAGCUUCUGCCCUCCUGACCUCCCCUUUAUGGGAUCAUCCUUCUCAAUACUAAUUUCUCUAGAAUGGUUGUGGCUCAUCCCACAAAGGGAGGAAGGUGUCUCCUCUAAUAUUCCAAGGAGUUCAAGGACUCCUUUUUUUUUUUUUUUUUCUAAUUUUUUUACUUUAGUAGAAUUCCCUCUCACAUUUAUAUAUGGUCACUUUUUUUCUAUUGGCAUCAGCCCAGACAUGGAACACACAGAACUUUUUCUUUAUUUUCUCUGAAAUCAGUAUGUACCCAAAUUUGAGGUGUUAAAGGGAGAGGUUUAACUCAUAGCCAGUACAGACACACCGAAUGUUCUAGUCCUUCCAUCAUUCCUGUCCUAGGGAAUAUCUCCCUGGCUAGACUGUUCUUCAGAGUCCCUUUGGGUAGCUGGUCAUUCUCACUCACCCCUGCUGCUUCCUUACUUUAUUGGCUCCCUUAUUUCCUUCAUCCUUGGGUUUACCCGACCCUAUACCCAAGAAUCAAAAUUCCUCUCACUAUAUUUUCAGUAGUACUUAUCUCUAACUCUGAACUAUCUGGAGUAGAGAAAAGGAAGAACAAGAAUCCAUUUUUCUUUUCAUAUCAGAACAUACUAUUAAGGCAUUUCCUGAGCAAAGACAGUUUCCCAAGAGGAAUCCUACAGUCAGCUUUUCCGAUAAAAAUCUUUAUCUCAUCUCAUUGUAAUAACAACUACUUUUUUUUUCUUAGCAAACACCUCUAAUUCUUAUGACCAUGAUAAGUACAGUCAUCUCCAUUUCACAGAUAAGAAAAUGGAGGCUCACAGAUUUAGCACAGAAUGAAAAUCCCAAGAUUUAGAGUCUGAAUAUCUUACUUUCAAGGCUCACUCUUAUGCUGAUAGUAGAACUUUUUGGAAAAGAAUUUGUUAGAAUUUAUCAAUCUUAAAAAUAUCCACCGCAUUGGGACUGGGGUUAUGGCUCAGUGGUAGAGCACUUGCCUAGUAUGUGUGAGGCACUGGGUUUGAUUCUCAGCACCACAUAUAAAUAUAAAUAUAAAGUAAAGGUGCAUCAAUAACUAGCAAAAAUAUUUUUAAAAAUAUCCACCUCCUUUAAAGUAGUAAUUCUACUGACAGGAAGCUAUCUAACAAAGUGAUGCUAAACAGCGUAAUACACAAUAAUGUUUGCAAAAUGUGGAAGUAGCCUAAAUGGCUUGUUAAUACGUAGCCAUUUAAAAAUGAAAUGGGGGGCUUAGGUUGUGGCUCAGUGGUAGAGUGCUUACCUGGCACCUGUGAGGCACUGGGUUAGAUCAUCAGCACCACAUAAAAAUAAAUAAAAUAAAGGUAUUGUAUCGAUCUAAAAAUACUAAAUAUAUGUAUUUUUAAAAAAUAAAUAAAAAUUAAAAUUAAAUGGGGCUGGAAAUGUAACUCAAUUCUACAGCACUUGCCUAAUAUGCACAAGGCUCUGGAUUUGAGCUAUAGCAUCACUAAAAACAAAGCAAAACAAAGUCUCAUAAGCAUCAUCUCCAUUUGGUAUUUAAGAUUUAUUUUGAAUGUUUUUUCUUUUGUAAUUUUUGUAAUUCUGGGUAUCAAACCAAAGGCCCUGUACAUGCUAGGCAAGCAUACUACCAUUAAGCUACAUCCCCCAGCUCUAAUACUUUUUAUUUUAGUACCUGGGAUUGAACCCUGAGGCCCUUAACCACUGAGCCACAUCCUCAGCCCUUUUUAUAUUUUAUUUUGAGACAGGAUUUCUCUAAGUUGCAUAGGGCCUCCAUCAAUUACAGAGGCUAGCUUUGAAUUUAUGAUCCUCCUGCCUCUUGGGCCGCUGGGAUUACAAGUAUGUACCACUAUGCCUAGUUCCCUAAUACUUAUUUUUAAAUAUCAUCUCAAACUUCCCUUCAGAACUCUUAGAUUAUACCUGUUUCUGGGGAAGCAAGACCUGGCCAGGCCCCUGGAGAGCUUGAAUAGAAGGUGGGUGUUAUAGUUUGGAUCUGAAAUGUCCUCCAAAAGGCCUGGUCCCAAAAGAAUUGGUCCCAGGACUGGGGUUUAGCUCAGUGGCAAAGCAUGUGUCUAGUAUGUGAAAGGUCGUGGGUUUGAUCCCCAGCACCAUCAAAAAAAAAAAAAAAAAAAAAUAGAGAGAGAGAGAAAGAAAAGGCUUGAUCCUCAGAUUAUCACUAUUGGGAGGUUGGUGGAGCCUUUAAGAGGUGGGGUCUAGCAGGAGGUCUAUAGAUCAUUGGGAGCAUACCAUUGAAGGGGAUAGUGGGGGCCUAGGCCCCUUCUUCUCCUCUUUCACUUUAUGUCAUGAGAUGAGCCGAUAUGUUCUGCCAUGUGUUUCUACCAUGAUAUGCUGCCACAGACCCAAGCAAUGGGACCAAUCACAGACUGAAACCUCUAAAACUAUGAGCCUAAAUGAACUUUUUUUUUUCCUUUAUAAGUUGAUAAGCUCAAAUAUUCAUUAUAGUAGCAGAAAGCAGACAGUGGGGAAUGUGAUCUGUCUAAGAAUUCCCCACUUGUUCUUCUCUGCAGUCAGGGCUGGGGACAGGGAUGGGGAGUUGGUGGUCUUCCUAACUGACAAACUUGAGAUAAUGGUGGUCUUUUUAUUGAUUGCUGCUAUUAUUCAAAAUUGGCUGUUGUCUCUCUGUAUAUGGUAGCAUCCAGAAACUUGUUCUUUUGUGCAGAACAUUUCUGAAUCUCUAGCUUCCCUCUCUGUAAAAUGGAAAGAAUACAAAUUACCUUAGUUGGGUGAUGUUGAAUAGAAAACAUGUAUGGGGGUGCUGGGGAUGUGGUUCAAGGGUGGUGCGCUCGCCUAGCAUGCGUGAGGCACUGGGUUCGUUUCUCAGCACCACAUAAAAAUAAAAAAUAAAAGAUAUUGUGUCUACUUAAAAUUAAAAAAUAAAUAUUUAAAAAAGAAAAAUGUAUGGGAAUAUUAAUAGCUCCAAAGCAUAUGUAAAUGUUGAUUAUUCCUUAGAAGAGUCAUAUCUACUAUUAUUUCAAACGGACACCUCCAUUCAAGAGAUGAAAUAGGGCUGGGUGCAGUGGCACAUGCCUGUAAUCCCAGCAGCUCUGGAGGCUGAGGCAGGAGUAUCACAAGUUCAAGGUUAAUCUUAACAAUUUAGGGAGACUUUCAGCAACUUAAUGAAAAUCUAUCUUGAAAUAGAAAAUAAAAAGGGUUGGGGGGUGUAGUUCAGGAGUGAAGUGCCCCUGCAGUACCAAAAAAAGAAAGAGAGAGAGAGAUGAAAUAGGCAUUUCUUUCUCUUUUUUUAUACUGAGUAUUGAAAUAAGGGGCCACUGAGCCACAUCCCCAGCCCUAUUUUUUAUUUAGAGAUAGGGUCUCACUGAGUUGCUUAGCACCUCACUUUUGCUGAGGUUGGCUUUGAACUCACGAUCCUCCUGCCUCCACCUCCCAAGCUGCUGGGAUGACAGGCGUGUACCACCACACCUGGCUUAUUGCUUUCUUUUUGUGUAUGUGUAUUUUAUUGGGGAUUAAACACAGGAACUGAGCUACAUCCCCAUCCCUUUUUAUUUUUAUUUAUUUAAAAAAAUUUUAGUUGUAUGUGAACACAAUAUCUUUAUUUUUGUUUAUUUUUUUUAUUUAUUUAUUUUUUAAAUGUUUUUAAGUUGUUGAUGGGCCUUUAUUUUGUUCAUUUAUUUAUUUUUUUUUUUUAGUGUGAAAAAUGUAUGGAAUUUUUUUUUAAAACAAAAAGGCAAUGUUAUUAAUGUUUGUUAAUAUCGAACAUGCAUAAUACAAACAAAAACAUGAGAGCAAUGAUACCAACUUGAGGGCAAUGACUAUAUUCAGGAGACAGGGGGAUCAAGGAAGGGGAGAAAGGGACUCAACUUUUAUCUGACAUUUUAUUAAAAGCAUACCCCAUAAGGACAUGGCAAAAUAUCAAUGUAGUAAAUUUGGAGAGCAUGAUUAAAUGAGCAUUUGUUAUUUUAUUACUUUGGGUAUGUCUGAAAUCUUGUUUCCAAUAAGAGGAAAAGGAAUUAAGCAGCCAGUUUUCGGGGAGCUGGGUGUGCACCAUCUCGCUGCUGAGAUGCAGGGUCUGCUAUAUAAAUUAUCUGGGGCUUUUACUUGAGUUGUGCCUCAUUAGCAAUCAUCUCUAGCACCAAUUAGAAAAAUUGAAUCUCCAUACGAAAUUACAUGGUCUGCAAUUAAGCAGCGCCUGGCUGCCAGUGGGAGGGCCGCUCCUUCCAAGCCAGAGCUCCGCGCUCCAGGAAAGGGAGAGGGCGCUGGACCCAGGGCGUCACAGGCACCGCGGGCGCCCUGCGUGCUUCCCUCCCCUUGCUCGGUUCCUCUGAAAUCGGUUUCCC